RNAcentral lists this ribosomal RNA (479 nucleotides) under uncultured bacterium. RNAcentral's name for it is "bacterial SSU rRNA". It matches the Rfam family "Bacterial small subunit ribosomal RNA", at positions 32 to 521 of the family's 1533-position model. The record is from RNAcentral.
AAUCAACGCUGGCGGCGUGCCUAACACAUGCAAGUCGAACGAGAAAGUCCCCGCAAGGGGAUGAGUACAGUGGCGACCGGGUGAGUAACACGUGACUAACCUACCCUGAAGCGGGGAAUAACCUCGGGAAGCCGGGGCUAAUACCGCAUACCUUCCAGAGGGGAAGCUCCUGUGGAGGAAACGAGCAAUCGGCUUUUAGGAGGGGGUCGCGCCCGAUUACGGUAGUUGGCGGGGUAAUGGCCCACCAAGCCUGUAUCGGUAGCCGGCCUGAGAGGGCGCACGGCCACACUGGAACUGAAACACGGUCCAGACUCCUACGGGAGGCAGCAGUGGGGAAUUUUGCGCAAUGGGGGAAACCCUGACGCAGCAACGCCGCGUGGAGGAUGAAGUCCCUUGGGACGUAAACUCCUUUCGACCGGGACGAUAAUGACGGUACCGGUGGAAGAAGCCCCGGCUAACUCCGUGCCAGCCGCCGCCGU